This 487-nucleotide ribosomal RNA is filed under the name uncultured bacterium. RNAcentral's name for it is "partial 16S ribosomal RNA". It matches the Rfam family "Bacterial small subunit ribosomal RNA", at positions 28 to 507 of the family's 1533-position model. The record is from RNAcentral.
GAUGAACGCUAGCGAUAGGCUUAACACAUGCAAGUCGAGGGGCAGCACAAGGUAGCUUGCUAUCUGGGUGGCGACCGGCGCACGGGUGCGUAACGCGUAUGCAACUUGCCCUAUACAGGAGGAUAACCCGUCGAAAGACGGACUAAUACUGCGUAUGCUCACAACUUGGCAUCAAGUGGUGAGGAAAGAAAUUCGGUAUAGGAUAGGCAUGCGUCCCAUUAGCUUGUUGGUGAGGUAACGGCUCACCAAGGCAACGAUGGGUAGGGGAACUGAGAGGUUUAUCCCCCACACUGGUACUGAGACACGGACCAGACUCCUACGGGAGGCAGCAGUGAGGAAGAUUGGUCAAUGGGCGCGAGCCUGAACCAGCCAAGUCGCGUGAAGGAUGACUGCCUUAUGGAUUGUAAACUUCUUUUAUACGGGAAUAACAAGAGUCACGUGUGACUCCCUGCAUGUACCGUAUGAAUAAGCAUCGGCUAACUCCGUG